RNAcentral lists this ribosomal RNA (360 nucleotides) under uncultured organism. RNAcentral describes it as "bacterial SSU rRNA". It matches the Rfam family "Bacterial small subunit ribosomal RNA", at positions 45 to 433 of the family's 1533-position model. The record is from RNAcentral.
UGCCUAACACAUGCAAGUCGAACGAUCCCUUCGGGGAUAGUGGCGCACGGGUGCGUAACGCGUGGGAAUCUGCCCUUGGGUUCGGAAUAACAGUUAGAAAUGACUGCUAAUACCGGAUGAAGUCUUCGGACCAAAGAUUUAUCGCCCAGGGAUGAGCCCGCGUAGGAUUAGGUAGUUGGUGAGGUAAAGGCUCACCAAGCCGACGAUCCUUAGCUGGUCUGAGAGGAUGAUCAGCCACACUGGGACUGAGACACGGCCCAGACUCCUACGGGAGGCAGCAGUGGGGAAUAUUGGACAAUGGGCGCAAGCCUGAUCCAGCAAUGCCGCGUGAGUGAUGAAGGCCUUCGGGUCGUAAAGCUC